This 318-nucleotide ribosomal RNA is filed under the name uncultured eukaryote. Its description in RNAcentral is "partial 18S ribosomal RNA". It matches the Rfam family "Eukaryotic small subunit ribosomal RNA", at positions 1470 to 1796 of the family's 1831-position model. The record is from RNAcentral.
CCCUUAGAUGUUCUGGGCAGCACGCGCGCUACAAUGGUCUUCGCAAACGGAUGCAUUCUCGAAGGAGAAUGCCAAUCUUGGAAUCUAUGCCUUGGUCGGGACAGUUGCUUGCAAUUUUUCGACUCGAACCAGGAAUUCCUUGUAAUCGUGAUUCAUCACAUCACGAUGAAUACGUCCUGCCCUUUGUACACACCGCCCGUCGCUCCUACCGAUCGAAGAGUUAGGUGAAUUGUUUUGAUCGAUAAGAUUUGACUAUGGUCAACUCUCGUUGUGAAAUUCUGUGAAUCUGACUGUUUAGAGGAAGGAAAAGUCGUAACA